UACGGAGGGUGCAAGCGUUAAUCGGAAUUACUGGGCGUAAAGCGCACGCAGGUGGCUGAGAAAGUCGAUUGUGAAAGCCCUGGGCUUAACCUGGGAAUUGCAGUCGAAACUACUCGGCUAGAGUAUGGGAGAGGGUAGUGGAAUUCCCGGUGUAGCGGUGAAAUGCGCAGAUAUCGGGAGGAACACCAAUGGCGAAGGCAGCUCGCUGGGACGGUACUGACGCUGAGGCGCUAAAGCGUGGGGAGCAAACAGG
This 253-nucleotide ribosomal RNA is filed under the name uncultured bacterium. Its description in RNAcentral is "partial 16S ribosomal RNA". It matches the Rfam family "Bacterial small subunit ribosomal RNA", at positions 524 to 776 of the family's 1533-position model. The record is from RNAcentral.